CCUACGGGAGGCAGCAGUGAGGAAUAUUGGUCAAUGGACGAGAGUCUGAACCAGCCAAGUAGCGUGAAGGAUGACUGCCCUAUGGGUUGUAAACUUCUUUUAUAUGGGAAUAAAAUGUUCCACGUGUGGGAUUUUGUAUGUACCAUAUGAAUAAGGAUCGGCUAACUCCGUGCCAGCAGCCGCGGUAAUACGGAGGAUCCGAGCGUUAUCCGGAUUUAUUAGGUUUAAAGGGAGCGUAGGUGGAUUGUUAAGUCAGUUGUGAAAGUUUGCGGCUCAACCGUAAAAUUGCAGUUGAAACUGGCAGUCGUGAGUACAGUAGAGGUGGGCGGAAUUCGUGAUGUAGCGGUGAAAUGCUUAGAUAUCACGAAGAACUCCGAUUGCGAAGGCAGCUCACUGGACUACAACUGACACUGAGGCUCGAAAGUGUGGGUAUCAAACAGGAUUAGAUACCCUGGUAGUC
RNAcentral lists this ribosomal RNA (460 nucleotides) under uncultured bacterium. Its description in RNAcentral is "partial 16S ribosomal RNA". It matches the Rfam family "Bacterial small subunit ribosomal RNA", at positions 338 to 795 of the family's 1533-position model. The record is from RNAcentral.